This is a long non-coding RNA of Hemicordylus capensis (graceful crag lizard), 5135 nucleotides long. RefSeq lists it as uncharacterized. The record is from RefSeq and is a predicted model, not a curated record. The transcript is spliced from 2 exons. NCBI's taxonomy places the organism in Eukaryota, Metazoa, Chordata, Lepidosauria, Squamata, Cordylidae.
UUAAGUGCUGGUUUUAGGCUGGAAGGUAAAUUUGCUGGAAUUGUUUAAGUAAGCUGAUUUUUGUGUUUUGUAUGGAAAGGAGGUGGCGGUUUGGCUAAAAACCCAAUCCAGCUUCAGUUCCAACUCUCUAACAUAAUAAACCAUUCUUUACUCCCACCUCACUCGCCAGUAAUAUGGAGGGUAAUGGAGUGUAUUGGUGGGAUUGAAAUGGCAGAGCAUUUUUUAAAAAAUGCUUCAAAACUUUAUAUACACACAAUUUUACAAGAUCUCAGUUUGAAUUAACAUCUGUUGAUGCUGCUUCGUUUUGUUUCUGGUGGACACAGACUACUGCCUAAUUGCAGCUAUAGGAAAAGCUUGGACUACUCCAUUGUUUUCUAUGUGAAUUCUCAGUUCCGCCCGGAGCGGUGGGGGGCAUCAAAAGAACCAGGAAGUUUCCUAUUCAAUUGAAUUUUUACUCUAGUCGUUUCCUAUCUCAAUAUUGUCACAGUCCGCUGCAUAAAAUUCCGUGUUAUGCUGUCUGAAGGCAAAUCAGCUUGAUGUGUUUGAGUAAACCAAAGUAACUCCAUUUUACAUAGAAUACCAAAGCAUCUCCAAGUUUGCUUAGAAAACCUAAUUCUAACUUAAAGCAACCCCAGCCCAGCUCAGGCCAGCUCAAGGACACGGCCUCACAUGAUUAUCUCUCUCCACUAAAUUGUAUCUAAAGAAACUUGGUUCUCACCAUUCUUUGCUGAGAAGUUAAUAAAACAGGAUGUAACCAAAUAAGGAGUGAUCACCAGAUGAACAAUGAAUCAUUCGCAUGCGUACUAGAUACUUAGUCCACCAUUUUACUGCCACAUAUACUAUGUCAGCAUCAUUCAGAUUGUCUGUAUAAAUGUAAGAUGCACCUAUAACCAAUUUGUAUUCAAUGUGGAGCGUGAGCCCCAUUGUCUACCUGCUUCUGCAGAGCAUUAAACCAAGCCUCUAAUUGAUUCCCACUGUGUCUGUUUGAUUGGCUUAAGGCGGACCCAGGGACGAACUGAAUUCACAUCAAUUUGGUGCCGUGACAGUCGGAUAUGGCUCUGGGUGGACAGUCUGACCCAUCACGGGACAAUGAGAUCCAGCGCGCCUCACAGCAUUUUGUCUGUGGAGGAUUCUCAUGGGCCCGGGAUGCGCCAGUCGUCACAAUGCGCCACAUCUGGGAAUCGAGGCAAGAGUGAAUAAAAGUGUGAACAGAGAGAGUGAGUGAGAGAGAGAGUGAAAUCCAAAGACGUCUUUUGGUUCUCCUCAGCCCAAGAGGGGCAAAGGGGGGGGGGAAGCCCAGGGAGGGGCAAUUUUCAGCCCGAGAAAAGGGGGAAAAUCCUACAGCCGAAGAAGGGCUGCCCACGCAGGGGCAAAUUUAAGACAAAAUCCCGAGAGGGGAGAAAGCCAAAAUCCCGAGGGGGGGGGCAAUUUAAGCCAAAAAGUCCAAGCAGGGGCGGUUUAAUCUUUCAGCUCGAGAAGGGGGAAAGAGAGAGAGAGAAAACAAAAACAAAAAAAACCCACAGCCGAAGUAGGGCUGCCUGGGAAGGAGUGACUUAAGCCAAGAGCCCAAGGAGGGGCGGCUUUGAGUCAGAAAUAAACAGUCUAAGCCCGACCAACUCAAAGUGGGGGCUAUGGGUAGCAGAAAUAGCAAGUACACAAAAUCUGAACGGAUUUCAUGUACACCUUUGGAGUGUGUGUUGAAAAAUUGGGUGAUUAUCAUGGGAGCAAAGAGUGCUCUUAGAAAACAUGUUUUGAAAUGCCUUUGUAUGAAAGUUUGGCCACUAUGAACUCGAGUCAGAGGCCUCCUGACUCCGAAAAUAACAUCCUUUUGCACUUGCCUCUGUUUUAUAAGUGUUAAGGAAGGAAGAAUGAUUGUCUUUUGCAAAAAUCAUUUCUCUCUCUGUGUUCUGUUUCCAAGUUGCUUCCAAGCUUUGCCCGUGUGUUGCAAACAGUCUGCAAACAGUCUCUGCCACUGUCCUGUUGUAACCAAGCCAAAAGAUAACACUGUUCUAGCUGCAAAAGUUUAUCUGAACAAAAGGCUGCUUUUGUUCUAUUUUUCCCUUUUUCUAUCUCUCUUCAACUACUUGAGUUGGAAAAGAGGAAAGAAAAUGGAGUUUUGAAGGAAUGCAUAUGGGAAUUGCAGAUAAAAGAAAAUAAAAAAACCUAGAAGGAAAUACGUAAAAGGAUUUUUGUUGGAGGUUGUUAACAACAACAAAAAGAAAAAUGCUUGAAAAGCGCCAGUAAGUUAUAAGAUUGUGAUGUGGAAAGGUAAUAUAGAAUUACAGGUUGUUUUCAUGGAUAACUGUGAUAAGGUUGUUCUGUUUAAACUACUUUCUUAACUGAGUUUAUGGCUGACAUAUUUAAAAUGCUAUAAAAUUCUUUGGGAUUCAUAUGAAGUUUUCUUUGUUUAGUCCUUUGUUCUGUGAAAUACACAAGACGAGCCUCUGUGUGUGUGUGUGUGCAUGUUUCUGAGAGGGAGCCCAAAGCUCUGGUUCUGUAUAGGAAUUCAACCCACAUCAAUUUUAUAGCUCAUCUCUGUGAAGAUGAGGUUUCUGUUGUAUUUAUUCUGUUUAUUCUGUUGUAUUUGUGAAUGUAUUUAUACUAGUGACAUGUUUUGUUUUGUUUUUCCUUUCUGUGAACUGUUCCAGACCAAACCUGCUCUGACAUUGAAUUCCAAAAUUCACAGUUAUUAUAUUAAUUGAACAUAAAAUUGGUCAUGGCCUGAGCAACACAGGGAACUUUCAGCGGUCAGCUGGCCAACUGAGGGCAGUGCUGCUUAUGGCUAGCUAAAUGCAUUAGGCAUGAGAGCAAGCUCUAAUUCAUUCAUUCUUAUAUCAAGUUAGUUGUGAUAUUUCUGCCACUACUGAGUAUCAUAAGCCUUUAUAUGUUAUGUUUACUGAAUUCCUUGACAAUGAUCUAUCUUAUCUUACCUAUUUCUGUGAACUCAAGAGGUUCUCUGAAAAGCAGUUUGUGUUCCAGCCAGAUUAAUUGUGGUAAACAGGUUUGCAACCAACAGUGCCUUGAAUUGUCUUUCCAAGAAGGAUUGGUCCUCCCCAGAUCGAAGGAAUACCUGGAUCCAUCGCCAGAAUGUGAUCCCAAGGGAGUCUCCAUCAACAGUGACCCAGGAAAACUAACUUUCCAGUCCAACCCAAUGGUGACAGAACGUCUAUCUACUACCCUGUCCUGUGUUCGAGGAAGAAGGCCUAAUGCACAGUUCAUCUUCCUGCUUCCAAGUGUUAUAGGAGAAGGAUAGACAACAAACGCCUGAAGACUGCCUGAUAACAAACAAGCAAGCCAAUUUGUUCACUUUUCUGUGGAGUCAUACACGUAACAGCAUUUCCCCAAGCUAUAAAGCCCUGGAACCAUCCUACCUGGGUAAGAUACCUUGCCAAAGACACUAUUUCAGAUUGCCCACAAGGGGAGGGAGUCAAGGCUCCCAAACACAUGAACAUUUAAGCUUGUCUGUGGACACUAGCCAAACAAGCCAAAACAACACGGAUCAGGAUAGCCAAAAUCCUGCAACGUUUUACAAGAGCAUUUGGUUCUCAACUGAAGGACUAAAAUAUAUUUUUCCUUACCAAGGACUUUUAGAUUUUGAAUUCUAAAGCUCUCCAUGGCUUCCUUUUUGGCCAUGACAGACUUUAGAGGACACUAAGGGGGGUGGGAGUUGAUGAUUUGCACCACUUUCUUAUAUUACUCUCUUGUAGUGACUAUGUGCUAUCAUUAUGUUGAAAACCUUGCUAUCUCCUGUGCUGUAAGGUCAUGGACCUCACAUGCUUGCUCUCCAGUCAUUUCCUUAUUGUUUCACUUAUAUAUUGUGCCAAUCAUCUCAUUGUUUCAACCAGAGCAUUUACCUGCAAGUCUGCACCUAUCCCCAAGUUACUGAUCCCUUUAUGCUCUAAGACAUUAAGCUGGCCCAAGCUUUACCUACAAUUUUAUAGACACUUGUAUUAAUCAGUGUGAUUAUACAUGACUUGUCAUUGCUAUCGCUUUCCACAAGCUGAUAACCCAUUAAUCACCAGAAGCAUCUGGUUCCACAAUGCAAGACUGUUAUUUAUACUUUAUUUGGGAUAAAGAUGGGUUAAAAUCAUGUUGCUUGCUAUAAGUUGUAUGAUCUUUAUAUGUACACUUUGCUGUUAUGUGUAAAAUUUUUAUAUAUAUAUCAAAUCAUGCCAGAUAUGGGUGGUUAAGGAUAUGUGUGUGUGUGAUGUAUAGAAUUAUAUAAUUAUGUUGUAGCUCUAGAAUAUUGUAUGCAAUGUGCCUGCCAUAGCACAUACCAUUUCUGUAAAAACUAUGCUUAAUGCAUCACAAAUGUUUAAGGCAUCCCAAAACCACAUAUGUUCCAAACCCUUUAGCCACACGAAACACAAAGUUCCAUCAAUGGGCAAGAACUAUAUUCCAAGAUUAAGAGUUUGUGUGUUAGAAAGAGCUACUGUUAAUAUUUUCAAACAGUUAGAACUUUCAUUAACUAAUAUGGAGAGCCUAUUGAUUUAUGGGCAAAGAAGAUAAUUCUGGUUGUAUUUUCUUUGUAUUAAUAAUCACAUGUUGCUGCUUACAAUGCAUUACAGCUUUAAACCAAAUGUUUAUGAGAACCUUUAAACCUUGCCAUAGUAUAAGACCCAUACAUACAGCUGUACCUUUACAAACUUUAAUUAAGACAUCCUGAAGAUUCAGGAUGAUCCAAUUGUUUCAGGGGGGAAUUGAUGUGUUUGAGUAAACCAAAGUAACUCCAUUUUACAUAGAAUACCAAAGCAUCUCCAAGUUUGCUUAGAAAACCUAAUUCUAACUUAAAGCAACCCCAGCCCAGCUCAGGCCAGCUCAAGGACACGGCCUCACAUGAUUAUCUCUCUCCACUAAAUUGUAUCUAAAGAAACUUGGUUCUCACCAUUCUUUGCUGAGAAGUUAAUAAAACAGGAUGUAACCAAAUAAGGAGUGAUCACCAGAUGAACAAUGAAUCAUUCGCAUGCGUACUAGAUACUUAGUCCACCAUUUUACUGCCACGUAUACUAUGUCAGCAUCAUUCAGAUUGUCUGUAUAAAUGUAAGAUGCACCUAUAACCAAUUUGUAUUCAAUGUGGAGCGUGAGCCCCAUUGUCUACCUGCUUCUGCAGAGCAUUAAACCAAGCCUCUAAUUGA